This 1077-nucleotide long non-coding RNA is filed under the name Gossypium barbadense (sea-island cotton). RNAcentral's name for it is "long non-coding RNA (GBAR_LNC005983)". Lineage: Eukaryota; Viridiplantae; Streptophyta; Magnoliopsida; Malvales; Malvaceae. The record is from RNAcentral.
AAAAAGAAGAAGAGAAGAAAUGAAGAUAUCCACUGUUGAUUUCAAUUUUUUCUUUCAUUUUCUCUGUUGAUUUUCUCAGCAUCUAAACAAUGGAAAGUUUAGCCCUCUACGCCGCGGCUUCCUCUGGUUUCUCUUCAACCACUUCUUUUUUCCUAAUCUCUUCUCUCAUCUCCUCAUUUUUGGCAGCCAGCUUUUUCUAUUCCCUGCAAUCCAUUCCAGCCCUAAACUCUCGGCCAAACAAAAGUUGUACCUCGUGAGGGAGUUUGGUGCGAUGCAGAUAACAGCGGUUCUUGGGUUGCUUGUUAUAACAAACUCUUGUUUUGGGAUGUGCCAAGGUAGUAACACAAAUGCAGGAGGAGAUUUUGAUUUUUGGAACAGGAUUUCGGAGGAGCGCUUAGCAGAAUGGGAAUUAGAGGCAAUGUUGGCGGUGUUGUUAGAACGACAAAGGUCUUCGAGGCGACGCUUCUCGAUUUGCUUGGCUUACUCAGAAGCGUCAGUCAUCUAGUGGAUUAAUAUAUGGAGAUAACUCAAAAGAUUGAAAAUUCAACAAGAUUAAAAUAACAAAAAAAUGAAAGGAAAAAAAAUAUGGUACUUUUAUUGUGUUUUUUUUUUUUUGGUAUUUUGUGCUCUAUUUGGUUACUGAGAAACUGGGAGGGGAAAAUAUAGUGGAAUUAGAAUAGUGUAAAAAGUGAAAGGAGGAAAACCUGAAAGGUUGAGAGAAUGCUAGAAGAACGAGGGCUUUUUUGUUUUUUUUUUUAAUUUGAUUAAAGAUGAUUAAGGAAAGGAACCUAAUAGAUCUAAUGUGGUAAGUUAAUUGACCAUGCCAACUAGUUAAUGAGUCACUCACUUGCUCCGUUAAGCUUGUAAUAAAAAAUAUUAAUAGGUAGUUGAUUUGUCACUUUUUGUAAUGUUAAUAACUAGUUUAUUAUUUUUUUAAAGUUUAGUGAGUGAGUUGAAAGUUAAGUAAUUAUUUUAUUGUUAAAAUUAAAAUUAGGUGACUAUUGGUAUAAUUUAUCCUAAUUAUAAAUUAAAUCGGAGACUUCUUGAAUAUAGGCAGAUGCUGAAUUUGGUGUGGCC